UCGGGGGGUAGCAAUAUCAAUCGAUCGGAGUGGCGCAAGGGUGCGUAACACGUGGGUAAUUUGCCGUGAAGUCUGGAAUAACUUGCUGAAAGGCAAGCUAAUGCCGGAUGAGAUCGCCGACGAGCAUUCGUUGGCGAUGAAAGUUGGGGUCGCAAGACCUGACGUUUCACGAUAAGCCCGCGGCCUAUCAGCUAGUUGGCGAGGUAAAGGCUCACCAAGGCUAAGACGGGUAGCUGGUCUGAGAGGACGACCAGUCACACUGGAACUGAGACACGGUCCAGACACCUACGGGUGGCAGCAGUCGAGAAUUUUUCACAAUGGGCGAAAGCCUGAUGGAGCGACGCCGCGUGGGGGAUGAAUGGCUUCGGCCCGUAAACCCCUGUCAUUUGCGAACAAUGCGUCCCCGUGAACAACGGGAGGCGUUGAUAGUAGCAGAAGAGGAAGAGACGGCUAACUCUGUGCCAGCAGCCGCGGUAAUACAGAGGUCUCAAGCGUUGUUCGGAUUUACUGGGCGUAAAGGGUGUGUAGGCGGUUGGGUAAGUCUGAAGUGAAAUCUCUAAGCUCAACUUAGAAAAUGCUUCGGAUACUAUCUGGCUAGAGGGUCGGAGAGGAGAUCGGAAUUCUCGGUGUAGCAGUGAGAUGCGUAGAUAUCGAGAGGAACAUCAGUGGCGAAGGCGGAUCUCUGGACGAAUCCUGACGCUGAGGCACGAAAGCCAGGUAGCAAACGGGAUUAGAUACCCCGGUAGUCCUGGCUGUAAACGGUGCGCACUUGCUGUGAGCGGAUUCAAACCCGCUCGUGCGUAGCUAACGCGAUAGUGCGCCGCCUGGGAAGUACG
This 836-nucleotide ribosomal RNA is filed under the name uncultured bacterium. Its description in RNAcentral is "bacterial SSU rRNA". It matches the Rfam family "Bacterial small subunit ribosomal RNA", at positions 68 to 884 of the family's 1533-position model. The record is from RNAcentral.